RNAcentral lists this ribosomal RNA (242 nucleotides) under uncultured Pseudomonas sp. RNAcentral describes it as "partial 16S ribosomal RNA". It matches the Rfam family "Bacterial small subunit ribosomal RNA", at positions 1144 to 1384 of the family's 1533-position model. Lineage: Bacteria; Pseudomonadati; Pseudomonadota; Gammaproteobacteria; Pseudomonadales; Pseudomonadaceae. The record is from RNAcentral.
GGAGACUGCCGGUGACAAACCGGAGGAAGGUGGGGAUGACGUCAAGUCAUCAUGGCCCUUACGGCCUGGGCUACACACGUGCUACAAUGGUCGGUACAAAGGGUUGCCAAGCCGCGAGGUGGAGCUAAUCCCAUAAAAACCGAUCGUAGUCCGGAUCGCAGUCUGCAACUCGACUGCGUGAAGUCGGAAUCGCUAGUAAUCGUGAAUCAGAAUGUCACGGUGAAUACGUUCCCGGGCCUUGU